GGGCACCCCCAGGAGUGGAGCCAGCGGCUUAAUUUAAACUCAACACGGGUAAACUUACCUGGUCAGGAAGCUGGAAGGAUUGAUAGAUUGAGAGCUCUUACUUGAGUCAAUGGGUGGUAGGGCAUGGUCGUUCUUCGUUGGAGGAGCGAUUUGUCUGGCUAAUUCCGAUAACGAACGAGACUCUGGCCUACUAAAUUACGUGCUCAACUUUAUAGCACCACCACCUUGCAGUUGCUUAAUGUGGUGGUAAGGCAUUCUCGACGUUGGAAGUGUUUCUUAAAGGGACAAGCGGCGGUGAACCCGCACGACACAGAGCAUCCACUGGAAUGUGAAGUCCGUUAGAUUACCUGGGCCCGGCCCCGCGCUUCCGGUGAAGUAACCGGGGGCAAAUUAACGUUUCUUACUCCCUCAAGACCGGGUCCCCCCUUUGAAACCUUUUUCGGGGUUGGGCAUUGGGGAAAGGGAAUAAGACCCCCUGGAACCGGGGAAAUUUCCCGUUGGGGGGGAAAAAAUUAAGAU
This 519-nucleotide ribosomal RNA is filed under the name uncultured eukaryote. RNAcentral describes it as "partial 18S ribosomal RNA". It matches the Rfam family "Eukaryotic small subunit ribosomal RNA", at positions 1162 to 1596 of the family's 1831-position model. The record is from RNAcentral.